GCAUUGGCAAUUAUCAAGGUCCUGUAAAGAGAAAUUAUUUUAGAGACAAACCAAUCAUGGAACAAAUGAAAAGCAACCAAGGACAAAAUCACAAACAACCAAAAAACUGGUGUUCUGUGUCUAGGAACCAGGAAAGAGCUGUAGACUUGUCAUAUUUCACUGAUUAAGAUAAUCUUAGAAAGACAUGAAUAUUGGAAUUCCAGAAAAAGAUAAUCCUAGCUCAUCCUAAUUUAAAAAGUUCAAAAGGAACUUCGAUCAAAUGCAUCACUAUUGCUAUGCUACCAUACACUGUAAUCUUCUUCUCUCACUUUCGUUCUCAUUCUUUCACUCCUAAUCCUUCUUUAUUAUAACUUAUAGUCCUACAGCUCCAUAUUGUUAAAACUAAUAUUUAUUCAUAAAGUCAUUUACGUCAUCCUCCAGGGAAGCAUCUUUGGAGGGCCAAUGUCCAUCUGAUGGAUGCUUGGACACUUGGGGCACUACCCCUUUAAAAGGAAUUUGGCAACAAUAUCCCCCGGUACAAUAAUGAAUUCCAAGUCAAAAUUUAAAAUCAAAGGCAACUAUGAGGCAAACUUGCCUUCCAAAGAUAAGGGCAGUUAGUGCAGUGGUGCCAGAGGAGAUAUCAAGUUCGCUAUCAUCUGCAAAUGCAUAAUCAGCUUUCACAAAAGCACUCCUAAUUGCCUUCUCCAUGCAAAUUGGAAAAUGAGGGUCCUCAAUUAUGAACCUGAGAAUAUUAUUUCUAACAAAAGAUGCUGCAUCAGUACCUCCAUGCCCAUCAAAUACCUGUGCACAUGUAUCAAUAAGUAUCGGUUAAUGUUAGUGAAUAUGGCCAGCUAAGGCAACAAAUUUUUAACAACUUACCAAAGUCACAACUUUUGCUACAAAAUUGACGAGUGCUGCUAAAUACAACUUCUAUAUUAGAAAUGAAGUGAAAGAAUGAUAAAAUAAGUGCUUAUAUCAUUAAAAAUAAAUCAACAGAACAAACGCUGUAUGAAUUGCAAUUUGUCCCCUUUCAAUUACUUCUGAUCAAAGAAAUUAUCCAUCUAGAUUUUUUCGUGAUUAACUAGGAAGUUUAGUAUAUCCAGAAGCUAGAUGGUAGGAAAAUGACAUACUCACCCCAUAGAAGGCUCCAGGAGAGGGGAAAUUGGACGUUUCACCUAGAUGUUCAAUAAGAUUAUCUAUACAGACAUGUUCAUCCUCCAUAUACUGUUUAGGCCCUCCUUCAGCACAGCUCCCUGAUCGGAACACUGGUAGAAAAUUUGAUUUUUCAUCGGAAGGCGACUUGUUGACAUCAAGCCCAACAUCCAUUGCCAGACCAGCGUCAUCCAGCAUCCUCAUAGAACUCAUACUAUGCCGCAUAACCGAGAGGUUCCGUGGAGGUUUCCCAUUUGCAGUUUGUUUCAGAUUAUCUAAAUUCUCCGAGUUCGGAUUUUCCAUAGAUGGUACAUUGUCCUUACUAUAACCACCUUCUAAUACAGUAAACGGAGGUGAAAGAUCCAUACCAGCGGCCAUAUCCCCUUCCCAGUCAUAUAUCAAGUGUUUUCUGCGAAUACAGUUAAAGCAAACAACUUUAACUUUACCCUUAAAUCCUCUGAUCUAUUAAAAUAGCCUAAAAUAUAAGCUUCACAAAUCAGCCAAAAUGACGAGUUACACACUUCAAGAAAAGGAAUUCCUUCAGAUAUCAGACAACUAUGCAAAGAAUAAUCAGGAGGCAAACUCAAAGCUUCACGGAACAAAUUCUCAAAUCUUCAACUAGUCCCAGAUCACAGAAUCAUUCUCAAUUAUUCACAAUUUCCAAGAAAAAAUACCAAAUUAUGCGAAAUCUGCAGUAAUUCAGUGACACAAAGCGAAGAAAAAUCCACCGAUUAAACCGAGAAACACGAGAAAGAAUUCCGGAAAUGCUACAAGAAAUAAGCAAAAACACAGGGAAAGAAAAAGGGGCACACAAUAUGCAAAAAUUUGGAGGAGAAGGGAGUGCAGGAAAAAAAGAAAAGAAAACAAAAGAGAAUUCUCACAUACGAAGAUGAUGUUGAUUCCUUAUUCCUCUUUCUAUGUCAGAUCAUCGAAGAACCCUAAAGAGAGACGUCUGAGAGGAGGGGCGAGAGAUAGAGAGAAUCAAAAGCAGUUCAAAAAGAGAGGAGAAAAUCUGCAUCGCAGAGAGAGAACUAAAUUGUUGGCUUUGGGUUGGCUACUGGCGAUUCCAGGUAAUCCGGUGGAUCAUCUAGCUGAUAGCCCACCGACACGUGGUAGGAUAUGGUUGGUGAAUGUUGUGGUUGACGGGAUGGUGCCGCCAUUGAGUCCCAGCCGUUGGAUCUCAGAAAAGCAGCUGUAAGGGCGACGCAAGUGCCUUUCCUUUUAUGGGAGGUUUGGUUCGGUUAACGGUCGUUGAAGGAGCCUUGGAUUCCAGUAGUGACGCGUCGGUGUUUCAUUGGUGUAAACUAAAAAAAAAUUUCGGCUAGGAUGAGCGGGUUGUCAACUUUUUCACUCCUAGUAGUCUACUAGUCCCAUUGAAAAAUUUCUUAGCCCUUUUCUUUUAUGGUCAUAACAGAGACUUCUAUUAUUGUCUUGUUGAUUCAUUUAGAUGGCUUAAUAAGGAGGCAAUGGAGGUUUAAU
Molecule: unclassified non-coding RNA, 2610 nt
Filed under: Hevea brasiliensis (rubber tree)
Lineage: Eukaryota; Viridiplantae; Streptophyta; Magnoliopsida; Malpighiales; Euphorbiaceae
Source: RNAcentral